Molecule: ribosomal RNA, 234 nt
Filed under: uncultured bacterium
Lineage: Bacteria
Description: partial 16S ribosomal RNA
Rfam family: Bacterial small subunit ribosomal RNA
Source: RNAcentral
CGGGACGGGGUGAGUAAUGUCGUGGGAAACUGCCUGAUGGAGGGGGAUAACUACUGGAAACGGUAGCUAAUACCGCAUAACGUCGCAAGACCAAAGAGGGGGACCUUGGGCCUCUUGCCAUCGGAUGUGCCCAGAUGGGAUUAGCUAGUAGGUGGGGUAAAGGCUCACCUAGGCGACGAUCCCUAGCUGGUCUGAGAGGAUGACCAGCCACACUGGAACUGAGACACGGUCCAG